GAUGAACGCUGGCGGCGUGCCUAAUACAUGCAAGUCGAGCGAACGGACGAGAAGCUUGCUUCUCUGAUGUUAGCGGCGGACGGGUGAGUAACACGUGGAUAACCUACCUAUAAGACUGGGAUAACUUCGGGAAACCGGAGCUAAUACCGGAUGAUAUUUUGAACCGCAUGGUUCAAAAGUGAAAGUCGGUCUUGCUGUCACUUAUAGAUGGAUCCGCGCUGCAUUAGCUAGUUGGUAAGGUAACGGCUUACCAAGGCAACGAUGCAUAGCCGACCUGAGAGCGUGAUCGGCCACACGGGAACUGAGACACGGUCCAGACUCCUACGGGAGGCAGCAGUCGGGAAUCUUCCGCAAUGGGCGAAAGCCUGACGGAGCAACGCCGCGUGAGUGAUGAAGGUCUUCGGAUCGUAAAACUCUGUUAUUAGGGAAGAACAUAUGUGUAAGUAACUGUGCACAUCUUGACGGUACCUAAACAGAAAGCCACGGCUAACUACGUG
RNAcentral lists this ribosomal RNA (497 nucleotides) under uncultured bacterium. RNAcentral describes it as "partial 16S ribosomal RNA". It matches the Rfam family "Bacterial small subunit ribosomal RNA", at positions 28 to 507 of the family's 1533-position model. The record is from RNAcentral.